This 650-nucleotide ribosomal RNA is filed under the name Bacillus subtilis. RNAcentral's name for it is "bacterial SSU rRNA". It matches the Rfam family "Bacterial small subunit ribosomal RNA", at positions 56 to 688 of the family's 1533-position model. Lineage: Bacteria; Bacillati; Bacillota; Bacilli; Caryophanales; Bacillaceae. The record is from RNAcentral.
UGCAAGUCGAGCGGACAGAUGGGAGCUUGCUCCCUGAUGUUAGCGGCGGACGGGUGAGUAACACGUGGGUAACCUGCCUGUAAGACUGGGAUAACUCCGGGAAACCGGGGCUAAUACCGGAUGGUUGUUUGAACCGCAUGGUUCAAACAUAAAAGGUGGCUUCGGCUACCACUUACAGAUGGACCCGCGGCGCAUUAGCUAGUUGGUGAGGUAANGGCUCACCAAGGCAACGAUGCGUAGCCGACCUGAGAGGGUGAUCGGCCACACUGGGACUGAGACACGGCCCAGACUCCUACGGGAGGCAGCAGUAGGGAAUCUUCCGCAAUGGACGAAAGUCUGACGGAGCAACGCCGCGUGAGUGAUGAAGGUUUUCGGAUCGUAAAGCUCUGUUGUUAGGGAAGAACAAGUACCGUUCGAAUAGGGCGGUACCUUGACGGUACCUAACCAGAAAGCCACGGCUAACUACGUGCCAGCAGCCGCGGUAAUACGUAGGUGGCAAGCGUUGUCCGGAAUUAUUGGGCGUAAAGGGCUCGCAGGCGGUUUCUUAAGUCUGAUGUGAAAGCCCCCGGCUCAACCGGGGAGGGUCAUUGGAAACUGGGGAACUUGAGUGCAGAAGAGGAGAGUGGAAUUCCACGUGUAGCGGUGAAAUG